GAGGUUGUGCCCUUGAGGCGUGGCUUCCGGAGCUAACGCGUUAAGUCGACCGCCUGGGGAGUACGGCCGCAAGGUUAAAACUCAAAUGAAUUGACGGGGGCCCGCACAAGCGGUGGAGCAUGUGGUUUAAUUCGAUGCAACGCGAAGAACCUUACCUGGUCUUGACAUCCACGGAAGUUUUCAGAGAUGAGAAUGUGCCUUCGGGAACCGUGAGACAGGUGCUGCAUGGCUGUCGUCAGCUCGUGUUGUGAAAUGUUGGGUUAAGUCCCGCAACGAGCGCAACCCUUAUCCUUUGUUGCCAGCGGUCCGGCCGGGAACUCAAAGGAGACUGCCAGUGAUAAACUGGAGGAAGGUGGGGAUGACGUCAAGUCAUCAUGGCCCUUACGACCAGGGCUACACACGUGCUACAAUGGCGCAUACAAAGAGAAGCGACCUCGCGAGAGCAAGCGGACCUCAUAAAGUGCGUCGUAGUCCGGAUUGGAGUCUGCAACUCGACUCCAUGAAGUCGGAAUCGCUAGUAAUCGUGGAUCAGAAUGCCACGGUGAAUACGUUCCCGGGCCUUGUACACACCGCCCGUCACACCAUGGGAGUGGGUUGCAAAAGAAGUAGGUAGCUUAACCUUCGGGAGGGCGCUUACCACUUUGUGAUUCAUGACUGGGGUGAAGUCGUAACAAGGUAACCGUAGGGGAACCUGCGGUUGGAUCAC
This 706-nucleotide ribosomal RNA is filed under the name Escherichia coli. RNAcentral's name for it is "bacterial SSU rRNA". It matches the Rfam family "Bacterial small subunit ribosomal RNA", at positions 820 to 1526 of the family's 1533-position model. The record is from RNAcentral. Lineage: Bacteria; Pseudomonadati; Pseudomonadota; Gammaproteobacteria; Enterobacterales; Enterobacteriaceae. RNAcentral also lists the same sequence under 1 other name.